This 432-nucleotide ribosomal RNA is filed under the name uncultured bacterium. RNAcentral's name for it is "partial 16S ribosomal RNA". It matches the Rfam family "Bacterial small subunit ribosomal RNA", at positions 338 to 795 of the family's 1533-position model. The record is from RNAcentral.
CCUACGGGGGGCAGCAGUGGGGAAUAUUGGACAAUGGGCGAAAGCCUGAUCCAGCCAUGCCGCGUGAGUGAAGAAGGCCUUAGGGUUGUAAAGCUCUUUCAGCGGGGAAGCGGUACCCGCAGAAGAAGCCCCGGCUAACUUCGUGCCAGCAGCCGCGGUAAUACGAAGGGGGCUAGCGUUGUUAGGAAUUACUGGGCGUAAAGCGCGCGUAGGCGGGUCGUUAAGUCAGGGGUGAAAUGCCGAGGCUCAACCUCGGAAUUGCCUUUGAUACUGGCAACCUGGAGUUCGGGAGAGGUGAGUGGAAUUCCGAGUGUAGAGGUGAAAUUCGUAGAUAUUCGGAGGAACACCAGAAGCGAAGGCGGCUCACUGGCCCGAACUGACGCUGAGGCGCGAAAGCGUGGGGAGCAAACAGGAUUAGAUACCCUUGUAGUC